GUUUUGAUGCUUUUCAUGUCUUUGGGCAGUUUGCUGUGUUUAUUUUGGGGGGAAGGUCAGCACUCCCAGCUGAUGCUGGGAGAAUGCUCUGGGAGAGAAGCAUCCCUGGAGACAGCCCUCCUUCCAGCAGCACAUGGCAAAACUCUGAGACUUCCCUUUCAGUGGGAGGCACAGGAGAUAUUUUGGACUGCAAGCUGUGGCUUUAAAAAAACACACCCAGUAGUGAUUUGAGGUUUUCUUCUUGAAGCCUUCCUGACUUUGAACAUAAAUUGCAUCUGUUUUGGUAAGCAGGCUACCAGCAAGCCAGACCUGUUCCUGGGAUUACUGUGACCACAGGUAUAGCUGUUUCUUUUCCAUAUGGGAUGACUUAGGCCCCUGUUCCCUGCCGGUGUGUGGUUGGAUUUUACCUUCCUCCACAUCGUGGCAUUUUGGAAAGAGGGGCUUGUUUUACAGAGCAGCUGUGUUGUCUUAAUGCAGCUGUAACGUGUGUUUGUCUCGGAGCACAGCAGGACUAGGAAGAGGUUUUAUUAGAUCAUUCCCAGGUCCCAAUAAUCUCUGAGGCUCUCAGAUCUGUGCUGCUCUCGCUCCGUAGGACAGGGCUGGAAGCUGAAGAUGGGAAAUCACUUGUGUGUGAUCCUUUAUCUGCUUCAUCUCACAGCUGCUGCUCCCCUCCUGGCUGUUUGUAGCAGCCAGAGAGGACCUAGUUCUUGUAUCCCAGACCUUCAACCACAGCCUAACAGCCUCCAAGGGAUCCUCCCUGCUUGGGCUGGUGUUUGUGGCACUGCUGGUGGCUCUGCAGCCUGGAUCCCAAGGAGCGUUCCCAUCCCAUCACCACUGACUGCCAGCAUCGGGAUCACGGCCACCCAGGGAGUUGGACAUGAUGGAGCUGGACACACACCAGGGUCCCCAUCCUGCUGGACAGCUGGAGGAUGUUCCCACCAAAUGAUCAGCAGGUCGAGGAUGCUGCAUAAAACACUCAGCAGUGCCCCUUUAACGUGGAAGCAACUUGAAUUUUAUUGCCAGUGCUGAAAGCAUCUACAAAUGUAGAUUUAGCAUCAGCCUCCGGGCUUAAGAUACAGCUGUUAUAUUUUCCUUUCUUCCUUUAAUUUUUUCCCCCUCUCUCCUUUGCACUAAUGUAAUGCUUAUUUAGGAACUACAGCCAUCUGUGGUUGCUAGGGAUGGCACUGUUAAAUUUGCUGUUGCUUUCUUUCCCCUGGUUUGAUGAGGCUCUCGGUGCACAGAGAAUUCCCCAGGACAGCAGAGACUCGCUUUGAUUGCUUUUUUUUUGAAACACAUCCUAAACACAUUGUUCACAGGGCUCUGUCUGUGCUGAGAAAAGGUGGUCAGCUGGAGAGCUGAGAUCCUGCCUUGUCGUGGGUUAAUGAGGUGAGAUUAUGAAGAACCAGGCAGCAAAAGAAGUUGAUGAAAUUAGAAGGGAUGGCAAAUAACAAGGGAGGGAAGGAGGAAGGGCUGGGACCGGAGCUCUUCCUGUUCCUCACAGCAGCCUGUGGUUAAUGGUGAGAUGAUUCACGUGGGAAUUGGGGCACUUGCAAUACUCAAGGGAGUUUUUUAGUAUUUUUCCAGUGAAAUGCUGUGCCUGAGCAGAUGGACAGGGAUCUGCCCCGAGUGGGCAGUCUGGAGCUGGGCACAGCCCUGCACAGCAGGUGUGGUGUUGCCAGCAGGGACUUGGCUCUGUGUCAGCAAAGGCAAAGUUGGCUUCUGCCUCUUUUGUCCCCGAG
This is a long non-coding RNA of Lonchura striata (white-rumped munia), 1739 nucleotides long. The record is from Ensembl. NCBI's taxonomy places the organism in Eukaryota, Metazoa, Chordata, Aves, Passeriformes, Estrildidae.